This 832-nucleotide ribosomal RNA is filed under the name marine metagenome. Its description in RNAcentral is "bacterial SSU rRNA". It matches the Rfam family "Bacterial small subunit ribosomal RNA", at positions 8 to 836 of the family's 1533-position model. The record is from RNAcentral.
AGAGUUUGAUCAUGGCUCAGAUUGAACGCUGGCGGUAGGCUUAACACAUGCAAGUCGUGCGAGAAAGUAUCUUCGGAUAUGAGUAGAGCGGCGGACGGGUGAGUAACGCGUAGGAAUCUACCUAGUAGAAGGGGAUAGCCCGGGGAAACUCGGAUUAAUACCGUAUACCUCCUUUGGGAGAAAGAGGGCCUCUCUUGAUGCUCUCGCUAUUAGAUGAGCCUGCGUAAGAUUAGCUUGUUGGUGAGGUAAUGGCUCACCAAGGCUACGAUCUUUAGCUGGUCUGAGAGGACGAUCAGCCACAUUGGGACUGAGACACGGCCCAGACUCCUACGGGAGGCAGCAGUGGGGAAUAUUGGACAAUGGGCGCAAGCCUGAUCCAGCCAUACCGCGUGUGUGAAGAAGGCUCUAGGGUUGUAAAGCACUUUAAGCAGGGAGAAAAAGUUAUAAGUUAAUACCUUAUAACCGUGAUGUUACCUGCAGAAUAAGCACCGGCUAAUUCCGUGCCAGCAGCCGCGGUAAUACGGAAGGUGCAAGCGUUAAUCGGAAUUACUGGGCGUAAAGCGCGCGUAGGUGGUUUGUUAAGUUGGAUGUGAAAGCCCUGGGCUCAACCUAGGAACUGCAUCCAAAACUAACUCACUAGAGUACGAUAGAGGGAGGUAGAAUUCAUAGUGUAGCGGUGGAAUGCGUAGAUAUUAUGAAGAAUACCAGUGGCGAAGGCGGCCUCCUGGAUCUGUACUGACACUGAGGUGCGAAAGCGUGGGUAGCGAACAGGAUUAGAUACCCUGGUAGUCCACGCCGUAAACGAUGACAACUAGCUGUUGGGAGACAAUGU